Molecule: ribosomal RNA, 882 nt
Filed under: Oncodamus bidens
Lineage: Eukaryota; Metazoa; Arthropoda; Arachnida; Araneae; Nicodamidae
Description: eukaryotic LSU rRNA
Rfam family: Eukaryotic large subunit ribosomal RNA
Source: RNAcentral
ACCUAUUCUCAAACUUUAAAUGGGUGAGAAGUCCGCCUUGCGUGACGGAAGCCGGACGAAUCGGAUGUGAGUGCCCAGUGGGCCACUUUUGGUAAGCAGAACUGGCGCUGUGGGAUGAACCAAACGCCGGGUUAAGGCGUCCGAUGCGAGACGCUCAUGAGACCCCAUGAAAGGUGUUGGUUGCUCUAGACAGCCGGAGGAUGGCCAUGGAAGUUGGAAUUCCCUAAGGAGUGUGUAACAACUCACCGGCCGAAGCAACUAGCCCUGAAAAUGGAUGACGCUCCAGCGUCGAGCCUAUACCCGGCCGCUACGGCAGAGCCUCUUCUUGGUGGAGGAUUAGGUCGUAGUGAGUAGGAGGGUCGCAGCGGCGUGCGUUGAAGGUGCCGGGCGUGAGCCCGCCUGGAGCCGCCGCUGGUGCAGAUCUUGGUGGUAGUAGCAAAUACUCAAGUGAGAACCUUGAGGACUGAAGACGGAGAAGGGUUCCAUGUGAACAGCAGUUGAACAUGGGUCAGUCGUCCCUAAGGCAUCGGAGAAAUCCGUUCUGAAGCGGGACGUUUCGCUGUGACAUGCGAGAUUGUGAUCAGUCCCGCUCUUGCCGAAAGGGCAUGGGGUUAAUAUUCCCCAACCCGGACACGGAGAUUGAGCCUUCGGGCUCGAGUGCGGUAACGCAACCGAACUCGGAGAAGUCGACGGAGGACCCGGGGAAGAGUUGUCUUUUCUUUGUAAGGGUUCGUGUCCCUGGAAUCGGAUCAUCCGGAGAUAGGGACGCCGUUCCCGUAAAAGCACCGCGGCUCUUGCGGUGUCCGGUCCGCCUUUGUCGACCCUUGCAAAUCCGAGGGAGAGAGUGUGAUUUUCGUGCCGGACCGUACCCAUAUACGCAGC